UUUUAUGGAGAGUUUGAUCCUGGCUCAGAGUGAACGCUGGCGGCGUGCCUAAUACAUGCAAGUCGAACGAUGAAGCUUCUAGCUUGCUAGAAG
Molecule: ribosomal RNA, 93 nt
Filed under: Campylobacter jejuni
Lineage: Bacteria; Pseudomonadati; Campylobacterota; Epsilonproteobacteria; Campylobacterales; Campylobacteraceae
Description: partial 16S ribosomal RNA
Rfam family: Bacterial small subunit ribosomal RNA
Source: RNAcentral